UUUCCUUUUUACUAGAAAUAAAAAGAAAACUGCAAUUUUCGUCUAUGAGCUUUUCUAAUUGCUAGUCUAUUUUUCUAUUGUUUUCACUACCAGAAUGAGUCAUCAAUAUCUGCUGUAGCUUGUUCUUUUCUCUGAUUACCUUACAGACUCACUCAUACCUCUACCAUUGAUGUAAGAUUCCUUAACAUCACCACUUCCCUUCUAAUUAACAUCUGAAAUCUCAAUUCUUAAGCCUGUUUUUUGUGACUUUCACGUUAAAUCAGCCCAUCUUUCUUGACACAACUUUUUCCUCUCCUCUUUCUUCCUUCUUCCAAUCCAUCAAAAAAAAACAAAUUAAGAGCCUACACUGUACAAGUAACAAUUGUUGAGGGUUCAUCAUAAGGAAGGUAAAAUUCUACUUCUUUAAGAGCUGGAAUGACUGGAUGUGCAAACACGACAUGUGGAGAAAGAAGCGAGUGCUCCAGUAAACGAUGGUCUUUCCUUCAAAGACAGCCAGCAUUUCCACGGUCCUGUUCCCAUGGAGCUGACACUAUUUUAACAAACUCCCCUUUCAUGACUGAAGAUGUCACCUACCUCAGUGACUGGGGGCUCAGCACAGUUGCUUCCCUGCAUCUGCAUCUGGAUCAGUUUCCCUGUAGAGAGGCCUGAGACUUGCUUCUGUCGGUUACAAACUGCUUGGUCUCCACUGACAUGGCCUUGAGUCAUUUCCAGACCUUCACACUCACCAUCCUUAUAGACACUUUUUGUUUUAAUUACAUGGAGGUAUUCCCAGUUAAAUUACUUUUUUUUCUGUGAAAAUCGCCUUAAUUUUUGACAUCUCCUUGUAUGAAAAAAUGGCAUCAUAAGGCAAAAGUUGCGGAAAUGUAAAGAAGGCAGGGUGUAUUGGCUGUAUCAUAUUUUUGUUGUUAUUGUUGCUGUUUGUUUUUCCCUGCCCAGCUGCCUAAUCGCUAGCCCAGUGAACACCGUGGUAGGAAGACAGAGCGAUCCAACUGCAGGCUGCGGGAGAACUGACAAGACCUGGGACUGUCAAUCUCAGGGGAGGCCCUGCUGCGUUAUCCCAUGAGAAGGGCUGCUGACUAUGCCACUGUGCCAAACCUGGACUUUAUCUCUUACAUCGAUUUGAUUUGGUUUCUCUCAGUCCUCAAGUCAGAUUUGUAUCUGAAUUGAUCACUGAGCCUUUGACAAGUGUCAUCUGCUGUAUAUAUUGCAAUUCAUGACAUUUAAGGGCCUGUUGACCUAGCAAUUCGGCUCCCAUGCAGGAAACAAGAUACCAACUUCAUUUAAAAAUAUGGUACAAUUGACAAAUGCUCAUAUUAACUCAAAUACAUAACAGGAGGCAAGAAAGUAUUCUAAAAUUUAUUUAAUGAUGGUAUCUAUGUAGUUUUACCCCAUCUUUAUUCUUUCGCUAAACAAGAAUAUGUUUCUGUAAUGUCAAAGGUAUACUGGGAACUACUACUAGUCUUCCAUUGCUGCUGUGGAAGUGUUUCAAUUUUUGAAAGUGUAAGAGAUGAGGGAAGAAAUCUGGAUAUAUCAGAUUCUUUGGAAAAUAACAGAUAAGUAAACAUGUAAUAUAUUAUGGCUACUAUUUUAAUGCAAAAAUAUAUUUCUACUACUAACAUAUUUGCCAAGGUAUGGUAAGCAUUGUAUAAAGUAAUGACUACUCAAUAGAAUAUCUAUUUAACAGAUUUAUCUUCCUGAAGAAAAUAUGCAAAGAUAAUCUUAAAAUGUAAACAAUGCUAUAGAAUCAAACUCAUGAAACAGCUGUUGUAUUAGUCUGUUCUCAUGUUGCCAAUAAAGACAUACCUGAUACUGGGUGUUCAUAAAGGAAAGAGGUUUAACUGACUCACAGUUCCACAUGGCUGGGGAGGCCUCACAAUCACGGUGGAAGGCAAGGAGGAGCAAAGCCACGUCUUACAUGGUGGCAGGCAAGGGGGCUUGUAUAGUGGAACUCUCCUUUAUAAAAUCAUCAGUUCUCAUGAGACUUAUGAUCAUGAGAACAGCAGGGGAAAGACCCAUCCCCAUGAUUCCAUUACCUCCCACUCGGUUCCUUCCAUGACACAUAGGAAUUAUGGGAGCUACAACUCAAGAUAAGAUUUGGGUGGGGACACAGCCAAACCAUAUCAGUUGUUAAACCCAUAUUUUGCCAAGUCUUAGUUUUAUUAUCUGUGAAAUGAAAAAUAUUAAUACCUAUCUGCCCUACCGACUUCACAAAGAUGCUGUGACAACCAGGUGGAUUAAUAUAUAGAAAAUGAUGUGGAAAAUAAAAAACAUGAUGGGAAAG
Molecule: long non-coding RNA, 2281 nt
Filed under: Homo sapiens (human)
Lineage: Eukaryota; Metazoa; Chordata; Mammalia; Primates; Hominidae
Description: HSALNT0225071
Source: RNAcentral